Molecule: ribosomal RNA, 546 nt
Filed under: uncultured eukaryote
Lineage: Eukaryota
Description: SSU rRNA
Rfam family: Eukaryotic small subunit ribosomal RNA
Source: RNAcentral
UGUAGUCAUAUGCUUGUCUCAAAGAUUAAGCCAUGCAUGUCUAAGUAUAAGCAAUUAUACCGCGAAACUGCGAAUGGCUCAUUAUAUAAGUUAUCGUUUAUUUGAUAGCACAUUACUACUUGGAUAACCGUGGUAAUUCUAGAGCUAAUACAUGCUAAAAAUCCCGACUUCGGAAGGGAUGUAUUUAUUAGAUUAAAAGCCAACGCCCUUCGGGGCUCUCUGGUGAUUCAUAAUAACUGGUCGAAUCGCAUGGCCUUGCGCCGGCGAUGGUUCAUUCAAAUUUCUUCCCUAUCAACUUUCGAUGCGAGGGUCUUGUCCUCGCAUGGUUGCAACGGGUAACGGAGGGUUAGGGCUCGACCCCGGAGAAGGAGCCUGAGAAACGGCUACUACAUCCAAGGAAGGCAGCAGGCGCGCAAAUUACCCAAUCCCGACACGGGGAGGUAGUGACAAUAAAUACUGAUACAGGGCUCUUUUGGGUCUUGUAUCGGAAUGAGUACAAUUUAAAUCCCUUAACGAGGAACAAUUGGAGGGCAAGUCUGGUAAUCG